Molecule: ribosomal RNA, 445 nt
Filed under: uncultured bacterium
Lineage: Bacteria
Description: bacterial SSU rRNA
Rfam family: Bacterial small subunit ribosomal RNA
Source: RNAcentral
GUAAGGAAUAUUGGUCAAUGGAGGCAACUCUGAACCAGCCAUGCCGCGUGCAGGAAGACUGCCCUAUGGGUUGUAAACUGCUUUUAUUCGGGAAUAAACCUUAUUACGUGUAAUAAGCUGAAUGUACCGAAGGAAUAAGGAUCGGCUAACUCCGUGCCAGCAGCCGCGGUAAUACGGAGGAUCCAAGCGUUAUCCGGAUUUAUUGGGUUUAAAGGGUGCGUAGGCGGCCUGUUAAGUCAGGGGUGAAAGACGGUAGCUCAACUAUCGCAGUGCCCUUGAUACUGAUGGGCUUGAAUGGACUAGAGGUAGGCGGAAUGAGACAAGUAGCGGUGAAAUGCAUAGAUAUGUCUCAGAACACCGAUUGCGAAGGCAGCUUACUAUGGUCUUAUUGACGCUGAGGCACGAAAGCGUGGGGAUCAAACAGGAUUAGAUACCCUAGUAGUCC